UGCGAACUCCUACGGGAGGCAGCAGUAGGGAAUCUUCGGCAAUGGACGAAAGUCUGACCGAGCAACGCCGCGUGAGUGAAGAAGGUUUUCGGAUCGUAAAACUCUGUUGUUAGAGAAGAACAAGGACGUUAGUAACUGAACGUCCCCUGACGGUAUCUAACCAGAAAGCCACGGCUAACUACGUGCCAGCAGCCGCGGUAAUACGUAGGUGGCAAGCGUUGUCCGGAAUUAUUGGGCGUAAAGAGCGCGCAGGUGGUUAAUUAAGUCUGAUGUGAAAGCCCACGGCUUAACCGUGGAGGGUCAUUGGAAACUGGUUGACUUGAGUGCAGAAGAGGGAAGUGGAAUUCCAUGUGUAGCGGUGAAAUGCGUAGAGAUAUGGAGGAACACCAGUGGCGAAGGCGGCUUCCUGGUCUGCAACUGACACUGAGGCGCGAAAGCGUGGGGAGCAAACAGGAUUAGAAACCCGGGUAGUCCAGAUG
Molecule: ribosomal RNA, 479 nt
Filed under: uncultured bacterium
Lineage: Bacteria
Description: bacterial SSU rRNA
Rfam family: Bacterial small subunit ribosomal RNA
Source: RNAcentral